GAAUAUUGGUCACUGGGCGCAAGCCUGAACCAGCCACGUCGCGUGAAGGAAGACGGCUCUACGGGUUGUAAACUUCUUUUGUACGGGAAUAAAGUGUAGUACGUGUACUAUUUUGCAUGUACCUUACGAAUAAGGAUCGGCUAACUCCGUGCCAGCAGCCGCGGUAAUACGGAGGAUCCGAGCGUUACCCGGAUUUAUUGGGUUUAAAGGGUGCGCAGGCGGGAGAUUAAGUCGGCGGUGAAAUUUUGCAGCUCAACUGUAAAAGUGCCUUCGAAACUGGUUUCCUUGAGUGUGGAUGAAGUAGGCGGAAUUUGUGGUGUAGCGGUGAAAUGCAUAGAUAUCACGAGGAACGCCGAUUGCGCAGGCAGCUUACUAAGCCAUAACUGACGCUCAGGCACGAAGGCGUGGGGAUCAAAC
RNAcentral lists this ribosomal RNA (417 nucleotides) under uncultured bacterium. RNAcentral's name for it is "bacterial SSU rRNA". It matches the Rfam family "Bacterial small subunit ribosomal RNA", at positions 359 to 773 of the family's 1533-position model. The record is from RNAcentral.